UUAAAGUAGUAAUAGUUAUGUUCUUGAAACUUAAAAAAUUUGGCGGUAUUUUAGUCUAUUCAGAGGAACCUGUCCUAUAAUCGAUAAUCCACGUUGGACCUCACUUAAGUUAGUUAAUCAGUUUGUAUACCGUCGUUAUAAGAAUAUUUUAUUAGAAUAAUAAUUUUCUAGAGUUUUUAUAAAAAUUUAUAUCAGAUCAAGGUGCAGCUUAUAUUUAAGAAGAGAUGGGUUACAAUAAAUUUAUUUAAACGAAUUAAUUUUUGAAAUAAAAUUAUGAAGGUGGAUUUGAAUGUAAAAUUAUAAAGAUUAAUAAUUUGAUUUUAGCU
Molecule: ribosomal RNA, 326 nt
Filed under: Archisepsis excavata
Lineage: Eukaryota; Metazoa; Arthropoda; Insecta; Diptera; Sepsidae
Description: partial 12S ribosomal RNA
Source: RNAcentral